CCGACCCGUGUUUACUGUACCUUAGUUGCUUCGGCGGGCCCGCCAUUCAUGGCCGCCGGGGGCUCUCAGCCCCGGGCCCGCGCCCGCCGGAGACACCACGAACUCUGUCUGAUCUAGUGAAGUCUGAGUUGAUUGUAUCGCAAUCAGUUAAAACUUUCAACAAUGGAUCUCUUGGUUCCGGCAUCGAUGAAGAACGCAGCGAAAGUGCGAUAACUAGUGUGAAUUGCAGAAUUCCGUGAAUCAUCGAGUCUUUGAACGCACAUUGCGCCCCCUGGUAUUCCGGGGGGCAUGCCUGUCCGAGCGUCAUUGCUGCCCAUCAAGCACGGCUUGUGUGUUGGGUCGUCGUCCCCUCUCCGGGGGGGACGGGCCCCAAAGGCAGCGGCGGCACCGCGUCCGAUCCUCGAGCGUAUGGGGCUUUGUCACCCGCUCUGUAGGCCCGGCCGGCGCUUGCCGAACGCAAAUCAAUCUUUUUCCAGGUUGACCUCGGAUCAGGUAGGGAUACCCGCUGAACUUAAGCAUAUCAUAG
This 526-nucleotide ribosomal RNA is filed under the name Aspergillus sp. OGGK-2009. Its description in RNAcentral is "eukaryotic LSU rRNA". The stretch from base 152 to 306 matches the Rfam family "5.8S ribosomal RNA". The record is from RNAcentral. Lineage: Eukaryota; Fungi; Ascomycota; Eurotiomycetes; Eurotiales; Aspergillaceae.